This 497-nucleotide ribosomal RNA is filed under the name uncultured bacterium. Its description in RNAcentral is "partial 16S ribosomal RNA". It matches the Rfam family "Bacterial small subunit ribosomal RNA", at positions 28 to 507 of the family's 1533-position model. The record is from RNAcentral.
GAUGAACGCUGGCGGCGUGCCUAAUACAUGCAAGUCGAGCGAACAGACGCGGCGCUUGCUCCUCUGACGUUAGCGGCGGACGGGUGAGUAACACGUGGAUCACCUCCCUAUCAGACUGGGAUCACUUCGGGAAACCGGCGCUAAUACCGGAUAAUAUAUUGCACCGCAUGGUUCAAUAGUGAAAGACGGUUUUGCUGUCACUUAUAGCUGGAUCCGCGCCGCAUUAGCUAGUUGGUAAGGUAACGGCUUACCACGGCAACGAUGCGUAGCCGACCUGAGAGGGUGAUCGGCCACACUGGAACUGAGACACGGUCCAGACUCCUACGGGAGGCAGCAGUAGGGAAUCUUCCGCAAUGGGCGAAAGCCUGACGGAGCAACGCCGCGUGAGUGAUGAAGGUCUUCGGAUCGUAAAACUCUGUUAUUAGGGAAGAACAAAUGUGUAAGUAACUAUGCACGUCUUGACGGUACCUAAUCAGAAAGCCACGGCUAACUACGUG